Molecule: transfer RNA, 74 nt
Filed under: Candidatus Izimoplasma sp. HR1
Lineage: Bacteria; Bacillati; Mycoplasmatota; Mollicutes; Candidatus Izemoplasmatales; Candidatus Izemoplasmataceae
Description: Candidatus Izimaplasma sp. HR1 tRNA
Rfam family: tRNA
About the family: Transfer RNA (tRNA) molecules are approximately 80 nucleotides in length. Their secondary structure includes four short double-helical elements and three loops (D, anti-codon, and T loops).
Source: Rfam by way of RNAcentral
GUUUCGAUAGCUCAGCUGGAUAGAGCAAUGCCCUUCUAAGGCAUCGGUCGGGGGUUCGAAUCCCUCUCGGAAUG